AUGGCAGUAGUUCUUCGAUUUGCAAACAUAGAAGGGGUGAUAAGAGAACAUUUUCUUGAUCUUGUUCAUGUUAGAGACACUAGUGCUUUGACUCUCAAGAACACACUUAUUGCCGUCCUAGUUGAUAAUGGGUUGAAUGUGCAAGAUAUUAGAGGCCAGGGAUAUGACGGGGCAAGCAACAUGAGGGGGGAGUGGAAUGGGCUGAAAGCUCUAAUUCUCAAUGAGUGCCCUUAUGCAUAUUAUAUUCAUUGUCUUGCACAUCAACUUCAAUUGGCUCUUGUUGCUGCUUCAAGGGAGGUACAUGAGGUCCAUAAUUUUUUUCAGCAUGCAAAUUUCAUUGUAAAUACCGUUAGUGCAUCUCCCAAACGCAACGAUGAGCUAUUAGAAAAUCAGGCUGCUGAAAUUGCUAGAGAGAUUGAAUUGGGAGAGCUUGACACAGGAAGAGGGGCCAAUCAAAUAGGAUCUUUACAAAGGGCCGGAGACACGAGAUGGAGUUCCCACUACAAAUCUAUCAAAAGUUUGUUAAAGAUGUUUGCCGCAAUUGUUACAGUGCUAAGAAGUUUAGCAGAUGAUCGUUCAGCUACAAGGAACUCAAGAGGUGAUGUUGGAGGUUCCCUAAAAAUCCUACUCACAUUUGAUUUUGUGUUCAUUCUACAUUUAAUGGAAAGAAUCAUGAAAAUCACGGAUGUCUUGUGUCUCAAACUUCAACAUAAAUCUUUGGACAUUGCAAAUGCAUUAGAUUGUGUUUCUAACACAAAGGUGUUGCUUGGUGAACUAAGGGAAGAUGGAUGGGACAACCUUUUUGAAGAUGUGAAAUCCUUUUGUGUGAAACAUGAGAUUGACAUCCCGAACAUGGAUCAAAAGUAUGUUGAUGUGACAAAAUCUCGAAAUAAGCAUGACAACACCACAGUUAUCCAUCAUUACAAAGUAGAUGUGUUUAAUGUUGCAAUAGAUCAACAAGUGAUAGAGUUGAAUGAUCGAUUCAGUUCUCAAGUAACUGAGCUACUAGAUCUUUGUUCAUCAUUGGACCCGAGGCAUGAUGCCUUCAGCAAAUCAAAGAUAUGCAGACUAGUGGAGAAAUUCUAUCCUGCAGAUUUUUCUAGUCAAGAAAGAGAUCGGUUGGAGUGCGAGCUACCACAUUUCCAGCUUGAUACAUUCAACCAUCCAGAGAUCAAGAACUGUAAAUCACUUGCUGAUCUAACAAAAGGAAUAGUUAAGACUGGCAAGUCUUCUGACUAUCCAAUGGUUGAGAGGUUGUUACGAUUGGUGAUAACUCUCCCGGUGUCAACCGCAACAGCAGAGUGA
This 1305-nucleotide ribosomal RNA is filed under the name Triticum aestivum (bread wheat). RNAcentral describes it as "partial small subunit ribosomal RNA". Lineage: Eukaryota; Viridiplantae; Streptophyta; Magnoliopsida; Poales; Poaceae. The record is from RNAcentral.